This 253-nucleotide ribosomal RNA is filed under the name uncultured bacterium. RNAcentral's name for it is "partial 16S ribosomal RNA". It matches the Rfam family "Bacterial small subunit ribosomal RNA", at positions 1249 to 1500 of the family's 1533-position model. The record is from RNAcentral.
ACGAGAGCGUGAGCUUAAGCGAAUCCCAAAAUAAACGUCUCAGUUCGGAUUGUAGUCUGCAACUCGACUACAUGAAGCUGGAAUCGCUAGUAAUCGCGGAUCAGCAUGCCGCGGUGAAUACGUUCCCGGGUCUUGUACACACCGCCCGUCACACCAUGGGAGUCGGAAAUGCCCGAAGCCAGUGACCCAAGCGAAACGCAGGGAGCUGUCGAAGGCAGGUCGGAUAACUGGGGUGAAGUCGUAACAAGGUACC